GUGCCAGCCGCCGCGGUAAGACAGAGGGUGCAAACGUUGCUCGGAAUUACUGGGCGUAAAGCGCGUGUAGGCGGACCACCAAGUCAGGCGUGAAAUCCCUGGGCUCAACCCAGGAACUGCACCUGAAACUGGCGGUCUUGAGUGGUGGAGAGGGAAGCAGAAUUCCUGGUGUAGAGGUGAAAUUCGUAGAUAUCAGGAGGAACACCGGUGGCGAAGGCGGCUUCCUGGACACUAACUGACGCUGAGACGCGAAAGCGUGGGGAGCAAACAGGAUUAGAUACCCUGGUAGUCC
RNAcentral lists this ribosomal RNA (292 nucleotides) under uncultured bacterium. Its description in RNAcentral is "partial 16S ribosomal RNA". It matches the Rfam family "Bacterial small subunit ribosomal RNA", at positions 505 to 796 of the family's 1533-position model. The record is from RNAcentral.